GCAAGGGUAUCACUGAAGGAAGGGCCUGCGUCCGAUUAGCUAGUUGGUAGGGUAAAAGCCUACCAAGGCGAUGAUCGGUAACUGGUCUGAGAGGACGACCAGUCCACACUGGGACUGAGACACGGCCCAGACUCCUACGGGAGGCAGCAGUGUGGGAAUAUUGGACAAUGGGCGCAAGCCUGAUCCAGCCAUGCCGCGUGGAUGAUGAAGGCCCUAGGGUGUAAAGUCCUUUCGACGGGGAAGAUAAUAAACAGUACCCGUAGAAGAAGCCCCGGCUAACUUCCGUGCCAGCAGCCGCGGUAAUACGAAGGGGGCUAGCGUUGCUCGGAAUCACCUGGGCGUAAAGCGGCACGUAGGUGGACUCUUAAGUCGGUGGUGAAAUCCUGGAGCUCAACCUCCAGAACUGCCUUCCGAUACCUGGGAGUUCUCGAGUCCGGGAGAGGUGAGUUGGAACUGCGCAGUGUAGAGGUGAAAUUCGUAGAUAUUUCGCAAGAACACUCAGUGGCGAAGCGCGGCUCACUGGCCCGGUAUCUGACGCUGAGGUUGCGAAACGCGUGGGGAGCAAACAGUAUUAGAUACCCUGGUGAGAUCCACGCCGUAAACGAUGGAGACUCGACCGUUGGAGCAGGCUUGCUGCUGUCAGUGGCGCAGACUAACGCAUUAAGCAUCCCGCCUGGAGAUCACGCGUCGCAAUGAUUAAAACUCGUAAAGGAAUUGACGGGGGCCCGCACAAGCGGUGGAGCAUGUGGUUCAAUUCGAAGCAACGCGCAGAACCUUACCAACCUUUGACAUGUCCCGUAUGAGCAACAGAGAUGUAGCUCUUCAGUUCGGCUGGCGGGAACACAGGUGCUGCAUGGCUGUCGUCAGCUCGUGUCGUGAGAUGUUGGGUUAAGUCCCGCAACGAGCGCAA
This 910-nucleotide ribosomal RNA is filed under the name uncultured bacterium. RNAcentral describes it as "bacterial SSU rRNA". It matches the Rfam family "Bacterial small subunit ribosomal RNA", at positions 201 to 1101 of the family's 1533-position model. The record is from RNAcentral.